CCUGGCGGUAGUGGUUCCGAGCCCCGGAAACGUUUCAAAGGCCUGCAGCCGACUGGCGUAGACGCUUUCUCUUUGGAUUCUCACCCUGUGAGAUGGACACGGCAGGGAGAAUUCAGCUUUACAGGUGGGAGAAGUAAAGGUCACAGAGGUUGAGUGACUCUCCAUAGAAGCACGUGCUGGGAUUUUAGCAAUGGUUCCAGACAGACCCCCGUGUUUUCUCCUUCCUGACGUUGGCCCAGUCGUUAACCGUUCAAAACUUAUUUCGUCAUCUGCGAAAUGGGGACAACGAUAGCCACCUUGUGAAACUGGUGUGAAGAACACAGAAAAGAACAGGAGAAGAAUCUAGUGCGAGGACUGGCCUGUGCUGAAUGUUCCAGACUGUCACAUCCCUCAGUGUCUCCAUGGAAGUGCCCACUAUGGGAGAAUGGCCGAAUGACAUGAUUGGAAUGGAAUGCAACAGUCAUCUUAUCUGACCACACAGAUACCUGCCAGGGGAGGAAUGCCUCACAUCCUCAUGAUAAUUUUGAAGACUUUCUGAGAAGGGCCUGGUGAGACCAACACAGCUCCUGGACAGGGUCCACCACCUCCAUCACUGUGCCUUGUCCCUGUCUUCCUUGCACUAGUGUGUGUGUGUAAUCACAGGUCACCUACUGACUGUGUGCAUGGAAAGCUCACUUAUCUUUGCAUCUGUGGGACCCAGAACAAAAGCCAUGAAGUAUUUUGAAACGUCAUGAUCUUGCAAUUUGAUGAGUUCCAGCCCCGCAUCCGGCUAUGCA
Long non-coding RNA from Herpailurus yagouaroundi (jaguarundi), 776 nucleotides. RefSeq lists it as uncharacterized. NCBI's taxonomy places the organism in Eukaryota, Metazoa, Chordata, Mammalia, Carnivora, Felidae. The record is from RefSeq and is a predicted model, not a curated record. The transcript has 4 exons.